This 459-nucleotide ribosomal RNA is filed under the name uncultured bacterium. RNAcentral's name for it is "partial 16S ribosomal RNA". It matches the Rfam family "Bacterial small subunit ribosomal RNA", at positions 338 to 795 of the family's 1533-position model. The record is from RNAcentral.
CCUACGGGCGGCAGCAGUGAGGAAUAUUGGUCAAUGGUCGCGAGCCUGAACCAGCCAAGUCGCGUGAGGGAAGACGGUCCUGUGGAUUGUAAACCUCUUUUGUCGGAGAGCAAAAGACGCCACGCGUCGCGUUCCGAGAGUACCCGAAGAAAAAGCAUCGGCUAACUCCGUGCCAGCAGCCGCGGUAAUACGGAGGAUGCGAGCGUUAUCCGGAUUUAGUGGGUUUAAAGGGUGCUCAGGCGGAAGAUCAAGUCAGCGGUAAAAUUGAGAGGCUCAACCUCUUCGAGCCGUUGAAACUGGGUUUCUUGAGUUGGCGAGAAGUAUGCGGAAUGCGCGGUGUAGCGGUGAAAUGCAUAGAUAUCACGCAGAACUCCGAUUGCGAAGGCAGCAUACCGGCGCUCAACUGACGCUCAUGCACGAAAGUGUGGGUAUCGAACAGGAUUAGAUACCCCUGUAGUC